Molecule: transfer RNA, 69 nt
Filed under: Aconurella montana
Lineage: Eukaryota; Metazoa; Arthropoda; Insecta; Hemiptera; Cicadellidae
Description: tRNA-Gln
Source: RNAcentral
UGUUUUGAGGUGUAAGAUGCACAUGAAUUUUUGGUUUUCAAGGAUUAAGUUUAAUUCUUAACAGAACAG